Ahaetulla prasina is the source of this 105-nucleotide small nucleolar RNA. RefSeq annotates it as small nucleolar RNA U3. The record is from RefSeq and is a predicted model, not a curated record. The transcript has a single exon. Lineage: Eukaryota; Metazoa; Chordata; Lepidosauria; Squamata; Colubridae.
AAGACUAUACUUUCAGGGAUCAUUUCUAUAGUAUCCAACUAGAGAAAUGCACUCGAAAGUGAUCGGCUGAGUAUUAAUCUAGCAGAGUAAUUUAGGAUGAAAGAU